This 452-nucleotide ribosomal RNA is filed under the name uncultured bacterium. RNAcentral describes it as "bacterial SSU rRNA". It matches the Rfam family "Bacterial small subunit ribosomal RNA", at positions 355 to 825 of the family's 1533-position model. The record is from RNAcentral.
UCGGGAAUUUUGGGCAAUGGGCGAAAGCCUGAUGCAGCGACGCCGCGUGAGGGAUGACGGCCUUCGGGUUGUAAACCUCUUUCAGUAGGGAAGAAGCGAAAGUGACGGUACCUGCAGAAGAAGCGCCGGCUAACUACGUGCCAGCAGCCGCGGUAAUACGUAGGGCGCAAGCGUUAUCCGGAAUUAUUGGGCGUAAAGAGCUCGUAGGCGGUUUGUCGCGUCUGCCGUGAAAGUCCGGGGCUCAACUCCGGAUCUGCGGUGGGUACGGGCAGACUAGAGUGAUGUAGGGGAGACUGGAAUUCCUGGUGUAGCGGUGAAAUGCGCAGAUAUCAGGAGGAACACCGAUGGCGAAGGCAGGUCUCUGGGCAUUAACUGACGCUGAGGAGCGAAAGCAUGGGGAGCGAACAGGAUUAGAUACCCGAGUAGUCCCUGAGCGGGCUGGCAAGGCGCAU